AACGAACGCUGGCGGCAUGCCUAACACAUGCAAGUCGAACGAGACCUUCGGGUCUAGUGGCGCCCGGGUGCGUAACGCGUGGGAACCUGCCCUUAGGUUCGGAAUAACUCCCCGAAAGGGGUGCUAAUAACGGAUAAUGUCUUCGGACCAAAGAUUUAUCGGCUUUGGAUGGGCCCGCGUUGGAUUAGCUAGUUGGUAGGGUAAAAGCCUACCAAGGCGACGAUCCAUAGCUGGUCUGAGAGGAUGAUCAGCCACACUGGGACUGAGACACGGCCCAGACUCCUACGGGAGGCAGCAGUGGGGAAUAUUGUACAAUGGGCGAAAGCCUGAUCCAGCAAUGCCGCGUGAGUGAUGAAGGCCUUAGUGUUGUAAAGCUCUUUUACCCGGGAUGAUAAUGACAGUACCGGGAGAAUAAGCGCCGGCUAACUCCGUG
This 433-nucleotide ribosomal RNA is filed under the name uncultured bacterium. RNAcentral describes it as "partial 16S ribosomal RNA". It matches the Rfam family "Bacterial small subunit ribosomal RNA", at positions 29 to 507 of the family's 1533-position model. The record is from RNAcentral.